Molecule: ribosomal RNA, 491 nt
Filed under: uncultured bacterium
Lineage: Bacteria
Description: partial 16S ribosomal RNA
Rfam family: Bacterial small subunit ribosomal RNA
Source: RNAcentral
AGUGAACGCUGGCGGUAGGCCUAACACAUGCAAGUCGAACGGCAGCACAGUAAGAGCUUGCUCUUACGGGUGGCGAGUGGCGGACGGGUGAGGAAUACAUCGGAAUCUACUUUUUCGUGGGGGAUAACGUAGGGAAACUUACGCUAAUACCGCAUACGACCUACGGGUGAAAGCAGGGGAUCUUCGGACCUUGCGCGAUUGAAUGAGCCGAUGUCGGAUUAGCUAGUUGUCGGGGUAAAGGCCCACCAAGGCGACGAUCCGUAGCUGGUCUGAGAGGAUGAUCAGCCACACUGGAACUGAGACACGGUCCAGACUCCUACGGGAGGCAGCAGUGGGGAAUAUUGGACAAUGGGCGCAAGCCUGAUCCAGCCAUACCGCGUGGGUGAAGAAGGCCUUCGGGUUGUAAAGCCCUUUUGUUGGGAAAGAAAAGCAGCAGGUUAAUACCCCGCUGUUCUGACGGUACCCAAAGAAUAAGCACCGGCUAACUUCGU